RNAcentral lists this ribosomal RNA (1452 nucleotides) under uncultured archaeon. Its description in RNAcentral is "16S ribosomal RNA". It matches the Rfam family "Archaeal small subunit ribosomal RNA". The record is from RNAcentral.
CUGCUAGGGGAAUUGUACUAAGUCAUGCAAGUUAACGCAUUUGCCUAUGUUAAUGCGUAGCGCAAAGCUCAGUAACGCGUAGACAAUCUAUCCUAAGUUCAGGGAAAAGCUCGGCAAACUGAGUCUAAACCCAGAUAAUCGCCUUAUGUUGGAAUACUUAGGCGGUAAAAGGAGCAGGAGCAUGGUCCUGCACGUCUUAGGUUGAGUCUGCGUUCCAUUAGGCAGUUGGUGGGGUAAUGGCCCACCAAACCGAGGAUGGGUACGGGUCAUUGGCGUGAUAACCCGGAGUUGGAUUCUGAGACAAUAAUCCAGGGGCUAUGGCUUGCAGCAGGCGAGAAAACUGGACAAUGCACGAAAGUGUGAUCCGGCAAUUCCCUGUCCCAAGCGCAAGUUUGGGUUUUGUUGAGUGUGAUUAGCUCGACGAAUAAGGAGAGGGCAAGAACGGUGCCAGCCGCCGCGGUAAAACCGUCUCUUCGAGUGGCCGACGUGUUUAUUGGGCCUAAAGCGUCCGUAGGCGGACUAGUCCGUCCUACAUUAAAGACGGCAACUUAAAGUUGACUAGAAAUCAAUCUAGUUGACGAGAAAUUGUCUGAAGUGUGUAGGAAACUGCUAGUCUUGGCAAUGGGAGAGGUGAGCCGUACGGUAGGAGUAAGGGUGAAAUCUUAUAAUCCCUUUCGGACGACCGAUGGCGAAGGCAGCUCACUGGAACAUGUGCGACGCUGAUGGACGAAAGCCAGGGGAGUGAGUCGGAUUAGAUACCCGAGUAAUCCUGGCUGUAAACGAUGCGGAUUAAGUGUUGGAUGGUCAAGAGGCCAUUCAGUGCCGAAGCGAAGGCGUUAAAUCCGCCGCCUGGGAAGUACGAGCGCAAGCUUGAAACUUAAAGAAAUUGGCGGGAGAGCGCCACAACCGGUGGAGCCUGCGGCUUAAUUGGAUUCAACGCCGGAAAACUCACCAGCGCCGAGAACUGUAUGAUUUCCCCGCUAAAGACGGUGAAUGACUUGUUCAGCGGAGGUGCAUGGCCGUCUACAGCUCGUGCCGUGAGGUGUCGUGUUAAGUCACGCAACGAGCGAGACCUACGUUCUUAGUUACUAGCGAAUCCUUCGGGAUGUCGAGCACCCUAAGAGGACUGCCAGUGCUAAACUGGAGGAAGGUGUAGGCCACGGCAGGUCAGUAUGCCCCUAAUGUGCUGGGCCGCACGCGGGCUACAAUGCACAGGACAAUGGGACCCUACUCCGAAAGGAGACGGAAAUCUCGAAACCUGUGCGCAGUUGGGAUCGAGGGUUGCAGCCCACCCUCGUGAACUUGGAAUCGGUAGUAAUCGCGUUUCAUGAUAACGCGGUGAAUACGUCCCCUCUCUUUGCACACACCGCCCGUCGCAGCACGCGAGUCGGGGAUGGAUGAGGCCUGUUCUAUUAAACGAGCAGUUCGAGUCUGGCCUCGAUGAGUGGGCUG